Molecule: RNA transcript, 2665 nt
Organism: Tripterygium wilfordii
Lineage: Eukaryota; Viridiplantae; Streptophyta; Magnoliopsida; Celastrales; Celastraceae
Gene name: pentatricopeptide repeat-containing protein At3g04130, mitochondrial
Exons: 5
Source: RefSeq, a predicted model, not a curated record
CUCAACCUUGUUCCCCCGUCUCUAUUCCAGUAUUUAACCUUGCGUUUUAUAGUUGAGACUUUUAAAAAAACUCAACUGUUCUUCGUCUUGUCUUGCAGAUAGACUCUAUACCACACAUCAAAGCUGGAGCUUCAAUUCUAAUUCAAAACAAAUCCUUCUCUGUCCCUUUAAACUCACAAAUAAUUCUCGGUUUUUGGCCACAAACAGUCCUGUUGGCUGGAGCUCGGUGUGAAUUUCAAUUCUGAUUCUUUUUCUUCUUCAUGAUGCUAACUAUCCGAAAAUGCCUUAAAAGCAACUUCUUCGACUUAGAUUAUUUUGUUAAUGCUUCCUCCAAGACAUAUUGGCGUGCUUUUUCUUCACCCGAAGUUUCCCAUUUUGAAAGAGCUAGCAUUAUUCAUCAAGAAGAGAAAUUAACAGACCCAAGAAACAAGUCUAAUUUUGAUGUUCUUGUGGCUAGAGUUAAUGUUGGAAACAGUGACAACGAAGUUUUCCAAUCUCUCCUUCAUGACCAAUUGUGUAAUGCUAUACAGCCUUCUGAUGAUCUUAUUAAUAAGCUGCUGCACCGCUUUAAGGAUGAUUGGAAAUCUGCAUUGGGUAUUUUUAGAUGGGCAGAGUCGCGCUCAGACUACAAACUCACACUACAGGCAUUUGAUACGAUGGUUGACAUAUUGGGGAAGGCAAAACAGGUGGACCAGAUGAAGUCUCUGUUAAAGGAAAUGUGUGAGGGUCACCUUAUCACACUUAACACAAUAGGUAAGGUUAUGAGAAGGUUAGCUGGUGCAGGGAACUGGGAAUAUGCGGUGAGGACAUUUGAUGAGUUAGCAACUUAUGGAUUGGAGAAGAAUACAGAAUCUAUGAACUUGUUGCUGGACACACUUUGCAAGGAGAGAAAUAUUGAGCUGGCACGUGAAAUAUUCUUGGAGCUCAAAUCUCAUAUUCCACCAAAUGCGCACACAUUUAAUAUUUUUAUUCAUGGUUGGUGCAAAGUCAAUCGGGUUGAUGAGGCUCACUGGACAAUCCAAGAAAUGAAGGGAUAUGGCUGCCAUCCUUGUAUCAUCAGCUACUCAACUAUCAUCCAUUUUUAUUGCCGCCAAUACAACUUUGGAAAGGUCUAUGAGCUGCUUGAUGAGAUGGACGCUCAUGGAUGCCCGCCAAAUGUUGUCACCUACACCACCAUCAUGAGUUUUCUAACAAAGGCAGGCGAAUUUAAGGAAGCUUUAGAGAUAGCUAAGAGAAUGGAAUCAGUUGGAUGUAGACCAGAUGUUCUAUUCUACAAUUCCUUGAUCCAUACACUAGGGAGAGCUGGCCAAAUAUCGGAGGCAGUUUAUGUUUUCAAAGAAGAGAUGCCCAAGACUGGUGUUUCACCAAACACGUCUACUUACAAUACUAUGAUUGCCAUGUUAUGUCAUCAUGCUCAGGAGCAGAAUGCCUUUGAUCUCCUGAAGGAGAUGGAAACUUCAGGUCAUUGCAAGCCUGAUGCUCAGACGUAUUACCCAUUGCUCAAGUUGUGCUUCAAAACAGGAAAAGUUGAUAGUUUAUUGAACCAAUUGUUGGAUGAAAUGGUUCACAAGCAUUAUCUCAGUCUUGAUUUAUCAACAUACACACUUUUAAUUCACGGUCUUUGUAGAGCAAACAAAUGUGAAUGGGCAUGCCAGCUCUUCGAGGUGAUGACUAGUCAAGACAUAAUACCGCAAUAUCAGACAUGUCUUUUGCUUCUUGACGAAGUCAAACUAAAGAAUAUGGAUGAUGCUGCUGAUAGAAUUCAAGCUGUCAUGAAGAAAUUAUGACCUAUAACAUGCAAGAUCAGAGAUAAAUAUCACCAAUGAGGCCAUCUAAGAUGGUGGAAUGCAAACUAGUUUCGCAAUUGGAGGCUUUUUAGUUUAUUUAGCAGAAGAUGAGCUACGAUAUUUUAGCGGAAGAGACUCUCCUUACUAUUUUCACUGUCAUAGUUGGCAGCAGUAUUCUUGAUGAUAAUGCUUGUAAAUGUCUGUUUCACAUAUCAUACGUAUUUUUUUCACUGACCUGCACUGAAUGGACUGAGGAAAGACAUGGAUCCAUUUCUACGAGUAUCGUGAAUACAUUUUUAGCUGGACAACUGCUGAAGGUUUCUUCCUGUCUUCUUGAAUUCCCAGAGACAAACAUUUGUCCAAUGAAAUGUGCUGAGGAAAGUGCGGACCCAGCUAUAUUUAAGAUUCAUUACGUGGUUACAGGCAGCUGACAAGGAGUCAACAAGUCGGCCCAAGCUUUGAUCUACCACCCCUUUGAUGUGGUGGUCCUGUCUCUGAUCCGAGUCAGCAUCGCAAGGCAAUUCUUAUGCAAAAUCCAUUUGUGACGCUGAUAGAUCAUAGAAGAAGGUGAAGCAAAAACCAAGAUGCACGGAGAGUAGUAGGUCCUUGAGGAUCCCAUAGCCUUCCUCAUCCCAAAACAAAACCAUGUGCAUGUUAUGGGGCCACUUGAUUGCCUUAAAUCAAACAUGGCCUAGCUGAUAAUCAAAUGUUGUUUGCAAGGCAAACAUGGCCUAGCUGUUGCUCUUUGAAUACAAUUCUGUGCUUUACAUAAAUUGGGUAUAUGUAUUGAUGAUAUGUUAGAAAAGAUAAAUGCUUUGUUGAUGCCCCUAUGCUAUGAAGAUGUUGACUCACCAAAUAAUGAUAUAUUAUUAAGACCA